This 497-nucleotide ribosomal RNA is filed under the name uncultured bacterium. Its description in RNAcentral is "partial 16S ribosomal RNA". It matches the Rfam family "Bacterial small subunit ribosomal RNA", at positions 28 to 507 of the family's 1533-position model. The record is from RNAcentral.
GAUGAACGCUGGCGGCGUGCCUAAUACAUGCAAGUCGAGCGAACAGACGAGGAGCUUGCUCCUCUGACGUUAGCGGCGGACGGGUGAGUAACACGUGGAUAACCUACCUAUAAGACUGGGAUAACUUCGGGAAACCGGAGCUAAUACCGGAUAAUAUAUUGAACCGCAUGGUUCAAUAGUGAAAGACGGUUUUGCUGUCACUUAAAGAUGGCUCCGCGCCGCAUUAGCUAGUUGGUAAGGUAACGGCUUACCAAGGCAACGAUGCGUAGCCGACCUGAGAGGGUGAUCGGCCACACUGGAACUGAGACACGGUCCAGACUCCUACGGGAGGCAGCAGUAGGGAAUCUUCCGCAAUGGGCGAAAGCCUGACGGAGCAACGCCGCGUGAGUGAUGAAGGUCUUCGGAUCGUAAAACUCUGUUAUUAGGGAAGAACAAAUGUGUAAGUAACUAUGCACGUCUUGACGGUACCUAAUCAGAAAGCCACGGCUAACUACGUG